RNAcentral lists this ribosomal RNA (657 nucleotides) under uncultured Bacteroides sp. RNAcentral describes it as "bacterial SSU rRNA". It matches the Rfam family "Bacterial small subunit ribosomal RNA", at positions 50 to 697 of the family's 1533-position model. The record is from RNAcentral. Lineage: Bacteria; Pseudomonadati; Bacteroidota; Bacteroidia; Bacteroidales; Bacteroidaceae.
AACACGUGCAAGUCGAGGGGCAGCAUGGUCUUAGCUUGCUAAGGCCGAUGGCGACCGGCGCACGGGUGAGUAACACGUAUCCAACCUGCCUUAUACUCCCGGACAGCCUUCUGAAAGGAAGAUUAAUACGGGAUGGUACCACGAGCCAGCAUUUUCUCGUGAUUAAAGAACUUCGGUAUAAGAUGGGGAUGCGUUCCAUUAGAUAGUAGGCGGGGUAACGGCCCACCUAGUCGACGAUGGAUAGGGAUUCUGAGAGGAAGGUCCCCCACAUUGGAACUGAGACACGGUCCAAACUCCUACGGGAGGCAGCAGUGAGGAAUAUUGGUCAAUGGGCGCUAGCCUGAACCAGCCAAGUAGCGUGAAGGAUGACUGCCCUAUGGGUUGUAAACUUCUUUUAUAUGGGAAUAAAACAGGGUAUGCAUACCCUCUUGUAUGUACCAUAUGAAUAAGGAUCGGCUAACUCCGUGCCAGCAGCCGCGGUAAUACGGAGGAUCCGAGCGUUAUCCGGAUUUAUUGGGUUUAAAGGGAGCGUAGGCGGGUUGUUAAGUCAGUUGUGAAAGUUUGCGGCUCAACCGUAAAAUUGCAGUUGAUACUGGCAUCCUUGAGUACAGUAGAGGUAGGCGGAAUUCGUGGUGUAGCGGUGAAAUGCUUAGAUAU